GUUAUCAGCCCAAAAUGCUAAUCCUUCUGUAUAAAAGGCAAACUAAAUCAGUUGCGGACACAGAUCCAUUUAAUACUGCAACUAUGUUGAAAUACGUUAAAGUUGCUGCUGUUGCUGCUGUUGUUCUAAGCAGUCUUCUUAUGACUGCUUAUGCACAAGGACAAGGACAACAACAAGGACAGCAAGGACAAGGACAAUAAAUGGAAUGAAAAGCGAAAACUUCAUAUCAUAUAAUACGAGAAUUUGUGUGGAAUAAAAUAUUAUGAAAGCAAUAACAUAA
Tribolium castaneum (red flour beetle) is the source of this 280-nucleotide long non-coding RNA. RefSeq lists it as uncharacterized. NCBI's taxonomy places the organism in Eukaryota, Metazoa, Arthropoda, Insecta, Coleoptera, Tenebrionidae. The record is from RefSeq and is a predicted model, not a curated record. The transcript has 2 exons.